RNAcentral lists this ribosomal RNA (253 nucleotides) under uncultured bacterium. RNAcentral describes it as "partial 16S ribosomal RNA". It matches the Rfam family "Bacterial small subunit ribosomal RNA", at positions 524 to 776 of the family's 1533-position model. The record is from RNAcentral.
UACGAAGGGGGCUAGCGUUGUUCGGAAUUACUGGGCGUAAAGCGUGCGCAGGCGGCUUCUCAAGUCAGGGGUGAAAGCCCAGAGCUCAACUCUGGAAUUGCCUUUGAGACUGAGUGGCUUGAGUACGAGAGAGGUGAGUGGAAUUCCCAGUGUAGAGGUGAAAUUCGUAGAUAUUGGGAAGAACACCGGUGCCGAAGGCGGCUCACUGGCUCGUAACUGACGCUCAUGCACGACAGCGUGGGGAUCAAACAGG